UACGUAGGGUCCGAGCGUUGUCCGGAAUUACUGGGCGUAAAGAGCUCGUAGGUGGUUUGUCGCGUUGUUCGUGAAAACUCACAGCUUAACUGUGGGCGUGCGGGCGAUACGGGCAGACUAGAGUGCGGUAGGGGAGACUGGAAUUCCUGGUGUAGCGGUGAAAUGCGCAGAUAUCAGGAGGAACACCGGUGGUGUAAACGGCUUUCUGGACCAUAACUGACGCUGAGGCACGAAAGCGUGGGUAGCAAACAGG
This 253-nucleotide ribosomal RNA is filed under the name uncultured bacterium. Its description in RNAcentral is "partial 16S ribosomal RNA". It matches the Rfam family "Bacterial small subunit ribosomal RNA", at positions 524 to 776 of the family's 1533-position model. The record is from RNAcentral.